RNAcentral lists this transfer RNA (72 nucleotides) under Camelus bactrianus (Bactrian camel). It matches the Rfam family "tRNA". From Rfam's summary of the family: Transfer RNA (tRNA) molecules are approximately 80 nucleotides in length. Lineage: Eukaryota; Metazoa; Chordata; Mammalia; Artiodactyla; Camelidae. RNAcentral also lists the same sequence under 1 other name. The record is from Rfam by way of RNAcentral.
GCAGGUAUAGCUCAGUGGUAGAGUACAUGCUUAGCAUACAUGAAGUCUUGGGUUCAAUGCCCAAUACCUCCA